This is a non-coding RNA of Danio rerio (zebrafish), 124 nucleotides long. RefSeq annotates it as microRNA 204-2. Lineage: Eukaryota; Metazoa; Chordata; Actinopteri; Cypriniformes; Danionidae. The record is from RefSeq and is marked provisional.
GUGUUGCUCUAGUGACCAGUUUGUGACCUCCUGGGUUUCCCUUUGUCAUCCUAUGCCUGCAGUUCCUGAUGAGGCUGGGACAGCAAAGGGAGGUUCAGAUGUCGACCUGUACUACAGUCAAUAC